AGUCAUCAGUUGAGUGGGGCGAACUCCAGAGAAGUCCUACACACACAAACUCAGUGGCUCUUGCUAUCCCCACAUGGACUGGUGAGUGUCGUGGUACUUAUAGAAAAGAGCCCCCACAGUACCCAACACUGGAAGUGGAUCGUUUGAUGAUGAUGGGAAAGUAGCAACCGGCAGAAAACAACCAUAGAAUGUGCUUGUGCAUCAAAGGCCCAGAAUGGGAAUAGCGCAGAGAAUUUUAGAGUGAAAGAAAAACAUAUCCAUCCGUAGAUGUUGGAAAAUAUGAACCUCAAAAUCCACUCUUUGUACACCAAGGAAUAAAUCAAAACUGUUAUUAUGGCCAAUCUUUUACACACAAAUCCGUUGUUUUUCUUCAUAAUAUUAUUUUUUGAGGAAAAAUUUCAAAUGCUAAUUCACUUAAAUAAUUUCAUAUAUGAGA
This is a long non-coding RNA of Phlebotomus papatasi, 436 nucleotides long. RefSeq lists it as uncharacterized. Lineage: Eukaryota; Metazoa; Arthropoda; Insecta; Diptera; Psychodidae. The transcript is spliced from 3 exons. The record is from RefSeq and is a predicted model, not a curated record.